UACGAAGGGGGCUAGCGUUGCUCGGAAUCACUGGGCGUAAAGCGCACGUAGGCGGAUUGUUAAGUCGGGGGUGAAAUCCUGGAGCUCAACUCCAGAACUGCCUUCGAUACUGGCGAUCUUGAGUCCGGGAGAGGUGAGUGGAACUCCGAGUGUAGAGGUGAAAUUCGUAGAUAUUCGGAAGAACACCAGUGGCGAAGGCGGCUCACUGGCCCGGUACUGACGCUGAGGCGCGAAAGCGUGGGGAGCAAACAGG
Molecule: ribosomal RNA, 253 nt
Filed under: uncultured bacterium
Lineage: Bacteria
Description: partial 16S ribosomal RNA
Rfam family: Bacterial small subunit ribosomal RNA
Source: RNAcentral